ACUUCGGUCGCUUUUGGCCGUAACGUUUCGGGCAUCGAAAAGCGGCCGACAACCAUCAAGUUUAGGAGUGACGACGUGGCACGUAUCGCUGGCGUCAAUAUCCCGACG
Fulvimarina pelagi HTCC2506 is the source of this 108-nucleotide regulatory RNA element. It matches the Rfam family "Alpha operon ribosome binding site". From Rfam's summary of the family: The bacterial alpha operon ribosome binding site is surrounded by this complex pseudoknotted structure. The record is from Rfam. NCBI's taxonomy places the organism in Bacteria, Pseudomonadati, Pseudomonadota, Alphaproteobacteria, Hyphomicrobiales, Aurantimonadaceae.